ACAGCAGUCGCCACGGGAAUACGUAGGGUGCAAGCGUUAAUCGGAAUUACUGGGCGUAAAGCGUGCGCAGGCGGUUAUAUAAGACAGAUGUGAAAUCCCCGGGCUCAACCUGGGAACUGCAUUUGUGACUGUAUAGCUAGAGUACGGCAGAGGGGGAUGGAAUUCCGCGUGUAGCAGUGAAAUGCGUAGAUAUGCGGAGGAACACCGAUGGCGAAGGCAAUCCCCUUGGCCUGUACUGACGCUCAUGCACGAAAGCGUGGGGAGCAAACAGGAUUAGAUACCCCCGUAGUCCCUGUCUCUUAUAC
RNAcentral lists this ribosomal RNA (305 nucleotides) under uncultured bacterium. Its description in RNAcentral is "partial 16S ribosomal RNA". It matches the Rfam family "Bacterial small subunit ribosomal RNA", at positions 505 to 807 of the family's 1533-position model. The record is from RNAcentral.